RNAcentral lists this ribosomal RNA (420 nucleotides) under Fusobacteriota bacterium. RNAcentral describes it as "Fusobacteria bacterium partial 16S ribosomal RNA". It matches the Rfam family "Bacterial small subunit ribosomal RNA", at positions 355 to 776 of the family's 1533-position model. Lineage: Bacteria; Fusobacteriati; Fusobacteriota. The record is from RNAcentral.
UGGGGGAUAUUGCACAAUGGGCGAAAGCCUGAUGCAGCGACGCCGCGUGGGGGAUGAAGGCCUUCGGGUUGUAAACUUCUUUUGCUCUGAACAAGGCAUGCCUUUGGGGUGUGUUGAGUGUAGGGGUUGAUUAGCGCCGGCUAACUACGUGCCAGCAGCCGCGGUAAUACGUAGGGCGCGAGCGUUGUCCGGAAUUAUUGGGCGUAAAGGGCUUGUAGGUGGCUGGUUGCGUCUGUCGUGAAAGCUCAUGGCUUAACUGUGGGGUUGCGGUGGGUACGGGCUGGCUUGAGUGCAGUAGGGGAGGCUGGAAUUCCUGGUGGAGCGGUGGAAUGCGCAGAUAUCAGGAGGAAUACCGGUGGCGAAGGCGGGUCUCUGGGCUGUUACUGACGCUGAGGAGCGAAAGCGUGGGGAGCGAACAGG